AAAAGGGGUUAAGUAAAGAGAUCGCUGCGAGGAGUCUUGUCACUUGCAUUUGAGCGGAGACCUAGGAGGAACAGACUUUUGUUUCUCCAGACUCAUCAUCCCCGAUCCCAAGGGAAGAGAUGAGUGAUUCUGCACGACCUUCAGAGGCCCUGGGGGAAGGAAUAGGAGUCUCUCUAUCUCAGGCAGGUCUGAUGGUUCACUACUUCUUCUGCACAGUACUUGAGACUAAGGACCGUUUUUCAAGGCUAUCUAUAAUCCCAUGUGGCAUGCUGUAUUUUCCAAAGAGGCCAGAAUAUCUUUCAUCCCACAUGCUCUUCUCACAAUAUAACUUUGAAACUUCAUCCAUCAAGAGAUAGAGUCUUGUGCCUAUAGCAGAAGUGACACUAUGGGACUCUAAAGGGAGAUACAGCUGUGCCUGGCUCUUUUGGGAUGCUUGCUCUUGGAAAUUAAGCCUCCAUGCUAUGAGGAAGCCCAAGCAGCCACAUAAAGAAUAUGCAUGCAGGGUUCCAGGUGACAGUCCCAACUGAGACCCCAGCUGACAGCCAGCAGCAACUGCCAGACAUAUGGGUGAAUAAGCCUAUGGGUGAUUCCAGCCCCAGGCCAGCCAGCAAAUCACUCCCUGCCUUUGACCCUUCCGAGAAC
Long non-coding RNA from Homo sapiens (human), 642 nucleotides. RefSeq lists it as uncharacterized. The record is from RefSeq and is a predicted model, not a curated record. The transcript is spliced from 4 exons. Lineage: Eukaryota; Metazoa; Chordata; Mammalia; Primates; Hominidae.